GAUGUCGUAUCACCCAGGACGUCCGA
RNAcentral lists this non-coding RNA (26 nucleotides) under Drosophila erecta. RNAcentral also lists the same sequence under 1 other name. The record is from RNAcentral. Lineage: Eukaryota; Metazoa; Arthropoda; Insecta; Diptera; Drosophilidae.